ACAGGCAGCGGAGCAUGUGGUUUAAUUCGAAGCAACGCGAAGAACCUUACCAGGUCUUGACAUCCUCUGACAAUCCGAGAGAUCGGAUUUCCCUUCGGGGACAGAGAGACAGGUGGUGCAUGGUUGUCGUCAGCUCGUGUCGUGAGAUGUUGGGUUAAGUCCCGCAACGAGCGCAACCCCUGUGGUUAGUUGCCAUCAUUUAGUUGGGCACUCUAAGCAGACUGCCGUGGAUAACACGGAGGAAGGUGGGGACGACGUCAAAUCAUCAUGCCCCUUAUGACCUGGGCUACACACGUGCUACAAUGGUCUGAACAGAGGGCUGCGAAACCGCGAGGUGAAGCUAAUCCCUUAAAACAGAUCUCAGUUCGGAUUGCAGGCUGCAACUCGCCUGCAUGAAGUUGGAGUUGCUAGUAAUCGCAGAUCAGAAUGCUGCGGUGAAUGCGUUCCCGGGUCUU
This 455-nucleotide ribosomal RNA is filed under the name uncultured Acetobacterium sp. RNAcentral describes it as "bacterial SSU rRNA". It matches the Rfam family "Bacterial small subunit ribosomal RNA", at positions 925 to 1382 of the family's 1533-position model. The record is from RNAcentral. Lineage: Bacteria; Bacillati; Bacillota; Clostridia; Eubacteriales; Eubacteriaceae.